GAUGAAAUAAUAAUUCAUAUACACAGAUCAAUAUUCAUAGAAAAAAAAUGCAAAGUCUCAAAAUAAGCAUUAAUAUAACUCCUCAUGCAUGUUCGUCUUAAGCUUCUUUUCUUUUUUGAACAGCAAAAGAUUAUAUCAUAUAAUAGAAGAUGAACAAAAGGACAAGUGGUACAGUACUCAAUCCAACCACCAAACAAGGGAUCUAAAGAACAAGAAAUACCCAAGAACCAAAACCAGAAACAGAAGGUUUUAAACCUUGAAAAAGAAACAAAUCCUUACCUAGAUAAACAAUCAAAUGGAUAUCCAUCCCAUUCAUAAAAGCUACAGACAUCAGCGUAGCUAGAAAAAAUAAACCACUCCAAAGUUACAUGCUUAAUUGCCUUGAAGCCUUGUUGUGGAAAAUUUGCGCAUUCCUUGCAAGCCAAACUCUCCAAGUAACAUCUUGCCAAAUCAUAUUAAGCCUCAUCUUCUGUUGUCUUCUCUGCCCCUGAAUUGAUGUAAUUUGUGCAGCCAUCUCAUUUGAGACACCUUGGUCCAAAUCUUUUCUUCAUGAGACAUCUAUAAAAUAUAUAAACAAAAAUCCUAAUAAGUUUAAUAGACCCAACAAUAUACCUAAAGAUAAUAAGACCAAAAUUUAAGGAAUUAAGCCUUGUAACCAUAGUAGAAAGUAACAAUAACAAAAUGUCAAGACUAGUCAAAAUGAACAUACCAACCAAUUAAUAUAAAAAAAAAACAAUUGUCACAACAAAUAUGCUAUCACUGAAUCUCCUACAAAUAAAGAAGUGUAUGAGUUAUCAACUCUACAAUAUAUACGAUUCAAAAAAUGGAAUUAAGAAAAAGAUAAACAAAACAUGAAUUAGCUGGUGAUAGAAACCAAUUAUCAUAAAAAUACACGUUUUUUAGAUCAUCACUGGACUUCCAAAAGCAAAUUAUCACAUUUCUCAAACCAUACCUCAGGAUCCCUUUCUAUCUCACGAGUGAGUUCUCCAAUUGAUCAAGGAACAGAGCAUACUUGUUGUCUGCANNNNNNNNNNNNNNNNNNNNNNNNNNNNNNNNNNNNNNNNNNNNNNNUUGAUAAAAUGCAUCAAGAAAGGUCAAACUUAUAAAUCAGCAAGAAUGAAAAUGAACCGACAUUAAAUAAAAUUAGUCCCUAUAUAUGCUUUCCAACAACUCUUUUUUGUUUACUGACAUGAAAAAAUUAUAUUGUAAACACACAUUGAUAGCUAUGUUAUAUUAUUUAAACCAACUACACAUUAUCAUUACUUUUUCAUUGAUUACAUAACUUUGAAAAGAAGGAAGUAAUUUUCAGAAAGCAUGGGCUGUAGAACAUACAAAAUUAGUUUAGAGGCAAAAGAUUAUUAUUAGCUAGACAUCUCUGAAAGCUUGAAAGAACAUAUAAAGGCGUAAUCAUAAAAUUUAGACUACUAUGUUACAAAGCAGUCAUGAUCAAUUAUUGAUUCCAUUGACAAUCUUAACCAAAUAUAGAUUCAGAAGACAUAACUUACCACAAUUAGAUUUGUUCCAGUGAAGCAAAUGGAAUAUUCUGAAAAUGACUCUUUCCUCAUGAAAAAAUGAAGCAAAUGGCACACUCAGAAAAAUUACUUGGUGGUCGGUUCAUCGCAGUUUUUGGCAUUUCCUUUUAUUAACAUAAUAAAUCUUUCCUUUCGUGGUAUCUAUGCAAUUAACACAUUGCAGCAAAUAAAAUUUAGAAUUGUGCAAGUAAAAAUCUAAUAAACUAUGCUACUUAACACUUAUUUACCAAUUUGACUGCAACAUAAUGCACCUACCUUAAUGUUUGGGUGAGUCAUUCAAUAUGAACUCACCAAGGGNNNNNNNNNNNNNNNNNNNNNNNNNNNNNNNNNNNNNNAAACCUAUUCAUUUCAUAUUAUGUGCUAAUCACAAACUACAGUCCAUAAACUCAAUUGGAAUGAGAUAUUCAAAAUAUAUCAAUGUUUGAGGAGCCAGCCAUAUCCAAAGGGUGAGAAUUUACAAUGUUGAAAGCAAAAAUCCCCUUCACACCCAGAUUUCUCAAGUUGUUUCACACAACCCUUGUAAAGCAAAACAAGUUGUUUCUCAAGUUCUUACUAACGAAUAAUGAUUUACCAUUACCACACAACAUGAAUAAAUUAAAACUCUACGAAAUUGGGGGUAAAGUUGAGGAUUAGGGUUUUAAAACAUUUGGGUCUUUUCACAUUUAGAAACAAUCAUAGGUUAAGCACUCACCAGAAAUUCACUUCAUCGCUACGCUUAGGAGAGGUAAAGUGCGAAUCUGAACAAUCUCAGAGAAGUGGAGAACAACCGCUACCUUGUGCGGUGGUGAAGCGGCAAAAACGAGAAGCUGAGAGGACCACAAUUCUGCAAGUGUGUUUCUGCGACCAGAUGCAAAAAUAGAGAGAGAUGGUGAUGUUUCGUUUCGUUUCAUUCAUUUGGGUUUAGGGUUUCCUUCUUUGAUCUACCGUUUGUGAGAAGAGAGAAUGUCUUGAGUGUGUUUUGGUGAGGGAGUGGUUUACUAAAAGGAAGAAAUAACAUAUAUUUUUAUUUUCUCUUUACCCACGGCCUAGAUAUCGGUACGUUAGAUCUAUUGUGUAUACCGAAGAAUUUUGCUUACUUUCACCGUACCCACGGCUUUGCUCUUGGUAUUACUCACGGUAAGUGGCCAUGGGUAAAAAUACCGUGGGUAUAUGCAAUUAUUCUUGUAGUG
Molecule: long non-coding RNA, 2701 nt
Filed under: Trifolium pratense (red clover)
Lineage: Eukaryota; Viridiplantae; Streptophyta; Magnoliopsida; Fabales; Fabaceae
Description: long non-coding RNA (TPRA_LNC000763)
Source: RNAcentral